UUUUGAAUAGCUCAAUUGGUGGAGCAAUCGAUUUCGACUCGAUUUGUCAUAGGUUCGACUCCUAUUUCAAAAA
Molecule: transfer RNA, 73 nt
Filed under: Entomomonas moraniae
Lineage: Bacteria; Pseudomonadati; Pseudomonadota; Gammaproteobacteria; Pseudomonadales; Pseudomonadaceae
Description: tRNA-Arg
Rfam family: tRNA
About the family: Transfer RNA (tRNA) molecules are approximately 80 nucleotides in length. Their secondary structure includes four short double-helical elements and three loops (D, anti-codon, and T loops).
Source: RNAcentral